Molecule: long non-coding RNA, 375 nt
Filed under: Salvia miltiorrhiza (redroot sage)
Lineage: Eukaryota; Viridiplantae; Streptophyta; Magnoliopsida; Lamiales; Lamiaceae
Description: long non-coding RNA (SMIL_LNC011179)
Source: RNAcentral
UUGUCUUUACCCAUGAGUUUCAAUUUCGUCUCCGGUGGUUAUGGAUCGAGCACAUCGCGCGGUGGACGUCAGUUUCAAGACAAUCAAAAUCUCAGGCUUUGUACGUGCGAAAUUGAAGGUAGAAGGUUGAGGGCUGUGAUAAUGACAUCGUGGACUGACGAAAAUCCCGGUAGGAGGUUUUAUGGAUGUCGAAAUUGGAAGGUAUGUUUGUGAUUUAGCACUAGUUUGUAUUUUUUGAUCUUUCUUGCUUUAAAUGUCUGCAAUUUCGUGUUUUAGACGAAGAACUGUGGAUUUUUUAUUGGCUUGACGAACCAAUUAGUGAAAGAGCCAAGGAAGUCAUCAAUGAGUUGAAGCUCAUGAAGAUUAAGGAGAGCU